Molecule: ribosomal RNA, 433 nt
Filed under: uncultured bacterium
Lineage: Bacteria
Description: partial 16S ribosomal RNA
Rfam family: Bacterial small subunit ribosomal RNA
Source: RNAcentral
AGCGAACGCUGGCGGCAGGCCUAACACAUGCAAGUCGAACGAACUCUUCGGAGUUAGUGGCGGACGGGUGAGUAACACGUGGGAACGUGCCUUUAGGUUCGGAAUAACUCAGGGAAACUUGAGCUAAUACCGGAUGUGCCCUUCGGGGGAAAGAUUUAUCGCCUUUAGAGCGGCCCGCGUCUGAUUAGCUAGUUGGUGAGGUAAAGGCUCACCAAGGCGACGAUCAGUAGCUGGUCUGAGAGGAUGAUCAGCCACAUUGGGACUGAGACACGGCCCAAACUCCGACGGGAGGCAGCAGUGGGGAAUCUUGCGCAAUGGGCGAAAGCCUGACGCAGCCAUGCCGCGUGAAUGAUGAAGGUCUUAGGAUUGUAAAAUUCUUUCACCGGGGACGAUAAUGACGGUACCCGGAGAAGAAGCCCCGGCUAACUUCGUG